GACGAACGCUGGCGGCGUGCCUAAUACAUGCAAGUCGAGCGAAGUUUUUCUGGUGCUUGCACUAGAAAAACUUAGCGGCGAACGGGUGAGUAACACGUAAAGAACCUGCCUCAUAGACUGGGACAACUAUUGGAAACGAUAGCUAAUACCGGAUAACAGUAUUUCUCGCAUGAGAGAUAUUUAAAAGUUGGUUAUGCUAACACUAUGAGAUGGCUUUGCGGUGCAUUAGCUAGUUGGUGGGGUAAAGGCCCACCAAGGCGACGAUGCAUAGCCGACCUGAGAGGGUGAUCGGCCACACUGGGACUGAGACACGGCCCAGACUCAUACGGGAGGCAGCAGUAGGGAAUCUUCCGCAAUGGGCGAAAGCCUGACGGAGCAACGCCGCGUGAGUGAAGAAGGAUUUCGGUUCGUAAAGCUCUGUUGUUAGGGAAGAAUGGAUAUGUAGUAACUAUACAUGUAAGAGACGGUACCUAACCAGAAAGCCACGGCUAACUACGUG
Molecule: ribosomal RNA, 499 nt
Filed under: uncultured bacterium
Lineage: Bacteria
Description: partial 16S ribosomal RNA
Rfam family: Bacterial small subunit ribosomal RNA
Source: RNAcentral